AAACUUUCAACAACGGAUCUCUUGGCUCUGGCAUCGAUGAAGAACGCANCGAAAUGCGAUAAGUAAUGUGAAUUGCAGAAUUUAGUGAAUCAUCGAAUCUUUGAACGCACAUUGCGCCCCUUGGUAUUCCGAGGGGCAUGCCUGUUCGAGCGUC
Molecule: ribosomal RNA, 154 nt
Filed under: Golovinomyces cichoracearum
Lineage: Eukaryota; Fungi; Ascomycota; Leotiomycetes; Helotiales; Erysiphaceae
Description: 5.8S ribosomal RNA
Rfam family: 5.8S ribosomal RNA
About the family: 5.8S ribosomal RNA (5.8S rRNA) is a component of the large subunit of the eukaryotic ribosome. It is transcribed by RNA polymerase I as part of the 45S precursor that also contains 18S and 28S rRNA.
Source: RNAcentral